GAUGAACGCUGGCGGCGUGCUUAACACAUGCAAGUCGAACGAUGAAGCCCAGCUUGCUGGGUGGAUUAGUGGCGAACGGGUGAGUAACACGUGAGUAACCUGCCCUUAAUUCUGGGAUAAGCCUGGGAAACUGGGUCUAUUACCGGAUAGGAGCGUCCACCGCAUGGUGGGUGUUGGAAAGAUUUAUCGGUUUUGGAUGGACUCGCGGCCUAUCAGCUUGUUGGUGAGGUAAUGGCUCACCAAGGCGACGACGGGUAGCCGGCCUGAGAGGGUGACCGGCCACACUGGGACUGAGACACGGCCCAGACUCCUACGGGAGGCAGCAGUGGGGAAUAUUGCACAAUGGGCGAAAGCCUGAUGCAGCGACGCCGCGUGAGGGAUGACGGCCUUCGGGUUGUAAACCUCUUUCAGUAGGGAAGAAGCGAAAGUGACGGUACCUGCAGAAGAAGCACCGGCUAACUACGUG
Molecule: ribosomal RNA, 466 nt
Filed under: uncultured bacterium
Lineage: Bacteria
Description: partial 16S ribosomal RNA
Rfam family: Bacterial small subunit ribosomal RNA
Source: RNAcentral